This 433-nucleotide ribosomal RNA is filed under the name uncultured bacterium. RNAcentral describes it as "partial 16S ribosomal RNA". It matches the Rfam family "Bacterial small subunit ribosomal RNA", at positions 29 to 507 of the family's 1533-position model. The record is from RNAcentral.
AACGAACGCUGGCGGCAUGCCUAACACAUGCAAGUCGAACGAGACCUUCGGGUCUUGUGGCGCACGGGUGCGUACCGCGGGGGAACCUGCCCUUAGGUUCGGAAUAACUCCCCGAAAGGGGUGCUAAUACCGGUUAAUGUCUUCGGACCAAAGAUCUAUCGCCUUUGGAUGGGCCCGCGUUGGAUUAGCUAGUUGGUAGGGUAAAAGCCUACCAAGGCGACGAUCCAUAGCUGGUCUGUGAGGAUGAUCAGCCACACUGGAGCUGAGACACGGCCCAGACUCCUACGGGAGGGAGGAGUGGGGAAUAUUGGACGAUGGGGGAAAGCCUGAUCCAGCAAUGCCGCGUGAGUGAUGAAGGCCUUAGGGUUGUAAAGCUCUUUUACCCGGGGUGAUAAUGACAGUACCGGGAGAAUAAGCUCCGGCUAACUCCGUG